RNAcentral lists this ribosomal RNA (1800 nucleotides) under human gut metagenome. RNAcentral's name for it is "bacterial LSU rRNA". It matches the Rfam family "Bacterial large subunit ribosomal RNA", at positions 1118 to 2925 of the family's 2925-position model. The record is from RNAcentral.
AUGCAUUCAAAGAGUGCGUAACAGCUCACUGGUCGAGUGGGGGCGCGCCGACAAUGCGCGGGGCUCAAGCACGGCGCCGAAGCGGCGGAAUCAAGCAAUUGAUUGGUAGGGGAGCUUUCCAUGCCGGGCGAAGCCGGAGGCGCGAGCCCCGGUGGACGGCAUGGAAGUGAGGAUGCAGGCAUGAGUAGCGAGAGAGCGGCGAGAAACCGCUCCGCCGAAAACCCAAGGUUUCCUGGGCGAGGCUAAUCCCCCCAGGGUCAGCCGGGAGCUAAGGCGAGGCCGCAAGGCGCAGCCGAUGCACGACGGGCAGACAUUCCCGUGCCGGCGCGGGCGCGCUACGACCGAUGGGACGACGGGGAAGGAUACGCGAGCGGGGUUCUGGACGUCCCCGUGAAAGCGCGUAGGGAGGGGCCCAGGGAAAUCCGGUCCCCACACAUCCCGAGACGCGAGACGAGCCGCACGGCGAAGUCGCGGAUUCCAUGCCUCCUAGAAAAAUCCCUAGGCAGCGCCCACGCCGCCCGUACCAAAACCGACACAGGUGGGUAGGAAGAGCAUUCCGAGGCGAUCGGGGCAACCAUGGUCAAGGAACUCGGCAUAAUCGUCCCGUAACUUAGGGAGAAGGGACGCCCCCCAGCGUGUACCGGCUCGCCCGGGAAGCGCCGGGGGGCCGCAGCGAAAGGGCCCAAGCGACUGUUUACCAAAAACACAGGACUCUGCCAAGCCGCGAGGCGAAGUAUAGGGUCUGACGCCUGCCCGGUGCCGGAAGGUCACGGGGAUCCGUUAGCCUUUGGCGAAGCGGUGAACCCAAGCCCCGGUAAACGGCGGCCGUAACUAUAACGGUCCUAAGGUAGCGAAAUUCCUUGUCGGGUAAGUUCCGACCUGCACGAACGGCGCAACGACUUGGGCGCUGUCUCGACCAUGGGCCCGGCGAAAUUGCAUUAUCCGUGAAGAUGCGGAUUCCCCGCGGAAGGACGGAAAGACCCCGUGAACCUUUACUGCAGCUUGGCAUUGGCCGCAGGCGCGGCGCGUAGAGGAUAGGCAGGAGGCUGCGAAGCCCGGGCGCCAGCCCGGGCGGAGCCGACCUUGGAAUACUGCCCCCGUCGCGUCGGCGGCCUAACCCGGGGACGGCCCGGGGACCGUGCCAGGCGGGCAGUUUGACUGGGGCGGUCGCCUCCCAAAGAGUAACGGAGGCGCGCGCAAGGUCCGCUCAGGACGGUCGGCAACCGUCCGAAGAGCGCAAGAGCACAAGCGGGCCUGACUGCGAGGCAGACAAGCCGAGCAGGGACGAAAGUCGGCUCUAGUGAUCCGGCGGCCCCGAGUGGAAGGGCCGUCGCUCAACGGAUAAAAGGUACUCCGGGGAUAACAGGCUGAUCUUGCCCAAGAGUCCACAUCGACGGCAAGGUUUGGCACCUCGAUGUCGGCUCAUCGCAUCCUGGGGCUGGAGUCGGUCCCAAGGGUACGGCUGUUCGCCGUUUAAAGCGGUACGCGAGCUGGGUUCAGAACGUCGUGAGACAGUUCGGUCCCUAUCCUCCGCGGGCGCAGGAGAAUUGAGGAGGGCUGCCCCUAGUACGAGAGGACCGGGGCGGACGGGCCUCUGGUGUCCCGGUUGUCGACCAACGGCACGGCCGGCUAGCCACGCCCGGAACGGAUAACCGCUGAAGGCAUCUAAGCGGGAAGCCGUCUCCGAGAUGAGUUCUCCCUUCGGUAAGCCCCCAUGUAGAACACGUGGUAGAUAGGCCGCAGCUGCAAGCGCCGCGAGGCGUUCAGGCGAGCGGUACUAAUAGGGCGAGCCCUUGCACC